UACGGAAGGCAGCAGUGGGGAAUAUUGCACAAUGGGCGCAAGCCUGAUGCAGCCAUGCCGCGUGUAUGAAGAAGGCCUUCGGGUUGUAAAGUACUUUCAGUCGUGAGGAAGGUGUUAAGGUUAAUAACCUUAGCAAUUGACGUUAGCGACAGAAGAAGCACCGGCUAACUCCGUGCCAGCAGCCGCGGUAAUACGGAGGGUGCGAGCGUUAAUCGGAAUUACUGGGCGUAAAGGGCACGCAGGCGGUUAAUUAAGUUGGAUGUGAAAUCCCCGGGCUUAACCUGGGAAUGGCAUUCAAGACUGGUUAGCUAGAGUCUUGUAGAGGGGGUGAAUUCCAUGUGUAGCGGUGAAAUGCGUAGAGAUGUGGAGGAAUACCGGUGGCGAAGGCGGCCCCUGGGACAAAGGACUGACGCUCAUGUGCGAAAGCGUGGGGAGCGAAACAGGAUUUAGAUACC
RNAcentral lists this ribosomal RNA (455 nucleotides) under uncultured bacterium. RNAcentral's name for it is "bacterial SSU rRNA". It matches the Rfam family "Bacterial small subunit ribosomal RNA", at positions 340 to 786 of the family's 1533-position model. The record is from RNAcentral.